GACGAACGCUGGCGGCGUGCCUAAUACAUGCAAGUAGAACGCUGAAGGAGGAGCUUGCUUCUCUGGAUGAGUUGCGAACGGGUGAGUAACGCGUAGGUAACCUGCCUGGUAGCGGGGGAUAACUAUUGGAAACGAUAGCUAAUACCGCAUAAUAUUGACUAUUGCAUGAUAGUCAGUUGAAAGGUGCAACUGCACCACUACCAGAUGGACCUGCGUUGUAUUAGCUAGUUGGUGGGGUAACGGCUCACCAAGGCGACGAUACAUAGCCGACCUGAGAGGGGGAUCGGCCACACUGGGACUGAGACACGGCCCAGACGCCUACGGGAGGCAGCAGGAGGGAAUCUUCGGCAAUGGACGGAAGUCUGACCGAGCAACGCCGCGUGAGUGAAGAAGGUUGUCGGAUCGUAAAGCUCGGUUGUAAGAGAAGAACGAGUGUGAGAGUGGAAAGCUCACACUGUGACGGUAUCUUACCAGAAAGGGACGGCUAACUACGUG
Molecule: ribosomal RNA, 495 nt
Filed under: uncultured bacterium
Lineage: Bacteria
Description: partial 16S ribosomal RNA
Rfam family: Bacterial small subunit ribosomal RNA
Source: RNAcentral